Molecule: transfer RNA, 71 nt
Filed under: Pteraster jordani
Lineage: Eukaryota; Metazoa; Echinodermata; Asteroidea; Velatida; Pterasteridae
Description: tRNA-Ala
Rfam family: tRNA
About the family: Transfer RNA (tRNA) molecules are approximately 80 nucleotides in length. Their secondary structure includes four short double-helical elements and three loops (D, anti-codon, and T loops).
Source: RNAcentral
UAAAUUUAGUUUAAAUAUUAAAACAUUUAUUUUGCAUAUAAAUAUUUUAGGUAAAAUUCCUAAAAUUUACA